AACGAACGCUGGCGGCAGGCCUAACACAUGCAAGUCGAACGAGAAGCCACCUUCGGGUGGUGGAAAGUGGCAGACGGGUGAGUAACGCGUGGGAACGUGCCUUUCGGUUCGGGAUAACCCAGGGAAACUUGGGCUAAUACCGGAUACGCCCUCCGGGGGAAAGAUUCAUGUGCCGAAAGAUCGGCCCGCGUCGGAUUAGCUAGUUGGUAGGGUAAUGGCCUACCAAGGCGACGAUCCGUAGCUGGUCUGAGAGGAUGACCAGCCACACUGGGACGGAGACACGGCCCAGACUCCUACGGGAGGCAGCAGUGGGGGAUAUUGGACAAUGGGCGAAAGCCUGAUCCAGCCAUGCCGCGUGGGUGAAGAAGGCCUUAGGGUUGUAAACCCCUUUCAGCGGGGAAGAUAAUGACGGUACCCGCAGAAGAAGUCCCGGCUAACUCCGUGCCAGCCGCCGCAGUAA
Molecule: ribosomal RNA, 460 nt
Filed under: uncultured bacterium
Lineage: Bacteria
Description: partial 16S ribosomal RNA
Rfam family: Bacterial small subunit ribosomal RNA
Source: RNAcentral